RNAcentral lists this ribosomal RNA (660 nucleotides) under uncultured bacterium. RNAcentral's name for it is "bacterial SSU rRNA". It matches the Rfam family "Bacterial small subunit ribosomal RNA", at positions 657 to 1329 of the family's 1533-position model. The record is from RNAcentral.
GAAGAUGGAAUUCCAGGUGUAGCGGUAAAAUGCGCAGAUAUCUGGAGGAACACCAGUGGCGAAAGCGGUCUUCUAGACCAAUACUGACACUCAGACGCGAAAGCUAGGGUAGCAAACGGGAUUAGAGACCCCGGUAGUCCUAGCCCUAAACGAUGUAGACUAGGCGUUGGUGGCUUAAUCGCCAUCAGUGUCCAAGCUAACGCGAUAAGUCUACCGCCUGGGGACUACGGCCGCAAGGUUAAAACUCAAAGGAAUUGACGGGUCCCCGCACAAGCAGCGGAGCGUGUGGUUUAAUUCGUUGCUACACGAAGAACCUUACCUGGGUUUGACAUAGCAGUGGUAGGGAAGCGAAAGCGGACCGACCCUUCGGGGAGCUGUUACAGGUGUUGCAUGGCUGUCGUCAGCUCGUGUCGUGAGAUGUUCGGUUAAGUCCGCUAACGAGCGCAACCCGCGUGGUGUGUUACAAGUGUCACACCAUACUGCCGAUAUUAAGUCGGAGGAAGGUGCGGAUGACGUCAAGUCAGCAUGACCUUUAUAUCCAGGGCUACACACACGCUACAAUGGUAGGUACAACAGGUUGCCAAGCCGCGAGGCGGAUCCAAUCCUAUAAAGCCUACCUCAGUUCAGAUUGCAGGCUGCAACUCGCCUGCAUGAAGUUGG